Molecule: long non-coding RNA, 997 nt
Filed under: Nicotiana benthamiana
Lineage: Eukaryota; Viridiplantae; Streptophyta; Magnoliopsida; Solanales; Solanaceae
Description: long non-coding RNA (NBEN_LNC007923)
Source: RNAcentral
CAAGAUUAAAUAAGAGGUAUUGCAUACGGGAAUGAUAUAUAAAAUGAAAGGUUGGAAACAGAGCUGGAGAUGAGCGCUAGCCAGAACGAAAUGGACAUAUGAGCGAUCGAUUACGAGAGCUCGACCGAUCAGACCGGGAAGAAGAGAAAGAAAGGUCAAUCUCCGAAAGGCCUUCGCAGAGCUGAGCUUUAGGGGGGAAUACUUUUUGUGGUCUUGCACAUGGAAAAGUCAAGUAUUCUACGCAGGCUUGAUUUACCGGAAUUUUUGCUUCAAAGAAUGCUUUCAAGCUAGGAAUUAAAGCACGGAUAGCUUUAUUUGACAAUUAGCUGGAAGUCGGGUAUGCCUAUUCAACAUAAACUAAGGCGCUGGGUAGAUCGUAGAUUGCCGAAAUGAGCGCUAGCCAGAACGAAAUGGAUAUAUGAGCGAUCGAGAGCUCGACCGAUCAGACCGGGAAGAAGAGAAAGAAAGGUCAAUCUCCGAAAGGCCUUCGCAGAGCUGAGCUUUAGGGGGGAAUACUUUUUGUGGUCUUGCACAUGGAAAAGUCAAGUAUUCUACGCAGGCUUGAUUUACCGGAAUUUUUGCUUCAAAGAAUGCUUUCAAGCUAGGAAUUAAAGCACGGAUAGCUUUAUUUGACAAUUAGCUGGAAGUCGGGUAUGCCUAUUCAACAUAAAGUAAGGCGCGGGGUAGAUCGUAGAUUGCCGGGUAUGAAUUCGAUUCUAAGUCGGAGAAUGCCCAUGAAUAGGGUCUUAUUACAGAAUCCGCAGUUUUGAAAGUAGCCCUAGACAGAUCAUUGCUAAGAGGAGAGCAGGGAAUUUCUUGCUAAUCAGGUGCUAUCAUCGUAUUAUAAUGAUUAUUCCGACGUCAGAGCAGACGGGACUACCAAUCCCAGAGUGAAUUAACCUUGUCUGCACUACCACCUUAGUUUACUAGACCUUGGGGAAUUGGCUAGUUACCUUCACUCCGCGUGGCAGCCUACCUACGUUUUGUCUUUUUCCUA